Molecule: ribosomal RNA, 433 nt
Filed under: uncultured bacterium
Lineage: Bacteria
Description: partial 16S ribosomal RNA
Rfam family: Bacterial small subunit ribosomal RNA
Source: RNAcentral
AGCGAACGCUGGCGGCAGGCCUAACACAUGCAAGUCGAACGAACUCUUCGGAGUUAGUGGCGGACGGGUGAGUAACACGUGGGAACGUGCCUUUUGGUUCGGAAUAACUCAGGGAAACUUGUGCUAAUACCGAAUGUGCCCUUCGGGGGAAAGAUUUAUCGCCAUUAGAGCGGCCCGCGUCUGAUUAGCUAGUUGGUGAGGUAACGGCUCACCAAGGCGACGAUCAGUAGCUGGUCUGGGAGGAUGACCAGCCACACUGGGAAUGAGACACGGCCCAGACUCCUACGGGAGGGAGCAGUGGGGAAUCUUGCGCAAUGGGGGAAAGCCUGACGCAGCCAUGCCGCGGGAAUGAUGAAGGUCUUAGGAUUGUAAAAUUCUUUCACCGGGGACGAUAAUGACGGUACCCGGAGAAGAAGCCCCGGCUAACUUCGUG